GGGUACAAAUGGUAAUUUUUCAAAGUUGGCUUUCUGCAAAAAUUUCGCAGAAGAAAACGCAUUUGGGCUGAAAACGCGCCUUAGAAUCGCGUUUUCCAUAAUCGCGUUUUCGAUUCUGCGCCUAUACUGAAGAAAACGCGCCUUCAAAACGCGACAGGAAGUCGCGUUUUCUACCAAGUCGCGUUUUCCAGCCUGAUCAAAAAUUGAAAACGCGACUUCAAAUACGCGACUUAAAGUCGCGUUUUAUAACACAGUCGCGUUUUCGAUCCUGCAAGAUAUGUGAAGAAACGCGACUUCAUAAAACGCGGCUUGGUGGCGCGUUUUGAUGAGUCGCGUUUUCGGAGAAAAAAAAAAUGCAGAUUCCUUGAUUCUCUUUUUUCUUCUUUUCCUGUACCUUGAGUUGCUUAUUGUAUAUUGUAUAUAGGUACAUCACCAAAACAAAGGUUUGAAAUUACGGAUCGCCGUUUUGUUUUAUUAAGCCUUUGUUAUCACUUUUGUUUCUUAUUUUUCAUUUUUAGGAUUACAUCACUAAUGGUUAUCCAAUGAAACUCAUGAAGCGUUGGAGAUACACGGACAAUGGAUCUUGAAGCUUCAUAUUCAAUCACAACAAUAGGGGAGUAUUACUUUCUUUAUCUUGAUUUUCCUUUUUACACAUUGAGGACAAUGUGUAUGUUAAGUGUGGGGGGAGAAUUGAGAUUAUAUAUAUUGUAUGUGAUUAAAUUAUUAGUUGCAAAUAUUGG
This 740-nucleotide long non-coding RNA is filed under the name Coffea arabica (coffee). Its description in RNAcentral is "long non-coding RNA (CARA_LNC002223)". The record is from RNAcentral. Lineage: Eukaryota; Viridiplantae; Streptophyta; Magnoliopsida; Gentianales; Rubiaceae.